Molecule: non-coding RNA, 1048 nt
Organism: Oryza sativa Japonica Group (Japanese rice)
Lineage: Eukaryota; Viridiplantae; Streptophyta; Magnoliopsida; Poales; Poaceae
Source: RefSeq, a predicted model, not a curated record
UGAGACGAUUUUGCCCCUGCUUGCCGGCUAAAAGGGGAUCGAGAUCUCGCGAGCUACCGGCCAUGGCUCGACGCGCCGCAGCCGCCGACGGAGAGUCCCGUCGCCGCCUUGCCGCUCCUCAUCCUCCUCGUCUUUCUCCUCUCAACUUCACUCGGGGCGUGCAGUUCGGCGAGCAAGAGGGGCGGCGACGGGCGACAGCGGCGGUGCGGUAGCGGAUGAGGCGUACUACUCCAGCUGGGAAUCGGCAGUGGCGGUGGUGGUGGCGGGGCGACGAAGGCUAGUCCGGCCAGGGUCGUCGCCGCCGACAUGCCGGAGCCGGUGCGGUGGCUGCCACCCAAGCUUGUUCUUCCCGGCUGCGUCGCCAUUGCUGCACGGACAAGGUUUAGCUGCUACCUAGCUGGAGCAAGAGCCAUCGACAAUACUGCAGCCAAGAAGGACAUUGCUGAGAAGAUCAAUCACGCAGGCUUCGGCUUCGAUGGGUUGGUGUGACGGUGGUGGCGGCACUUACCGACGGGCAGAGAAGCCAGCAACUAGCUGAAAUGGCUCAACCAGCUCGAUGCACAACGGUUUUCAACAUCCAACCGAAGGGGCAAUAUCAUCUCAUCAAGGCACAUUUUAGCGAAAAUGAAAUCGAAAAUGGAGAAAAUGGCAAAGUAGAUGUGGUCACGUGGUCCAUAUUGGCAUUUUAACGAAUCGUGUUUUUGGAUGGCAUUUUAGCGAAACCGCGUUUCGAGAAUGACCAAAUGUCCAUUUUCUCGUGUCGCGCUGUUAACGACCAAAUUUGGUAAUCUAAGUAUCGGAGAUGAAGAAGGAAUCGAAACGGAGUUCGAGAUAGAGAUCGUCCCGGAAACAGAGUAAAGUCAGCUGAAAUCCGAAUCGGCUACGAUCAGGAUCGGCAGAGUCCGAGUUGGAUAGGGUUAGCCAAUUGAGUUGAAUCUGACAAUGUAGCACGAUAUACGUUGUCGGGUUAGGUUAACGAGCUUCAUGAGGAUUGUCGUGCAUGGAUAGAGUCCUAAGAAGGCAAUUGUAUCUAUUAAUUAGGAUAUUU